AAGGGCACCACAAGAACGCGUGGAGCAUGUGGCUUAAUUUGACUCAACGCGGGAAAUCUUACCGGGUCCGGACACACUGAGGAUUGACAGGCAAUAUUAAUACGUUAACUAUCCGUAGCUUUUACGUAUUAUGUUAAAUAUGCUAGUCCUUUCAUGAUUAUGUGAUAGGUGGUGCAUGGCCGUUCUUAGUUCGUGGAGUGAUCUGUCUGCUUAAUUGCGUUUCACUAAGGGCUUAUAAAUUUACGUGUGUUGCGGCACUUUGACCCCUUUCAAUUUAUUUUGAAAGCGCGUGUCUUAGUUUGCUUUGCUCACACAAUUAAGUCCUGAAAGCAACGAACGUGACCGCAACCUCUUGUUGCCUUUAUACCAAACAUGUUUAUUUUCGAGUAUUCAUGAAAAAAGGCUUUUUAAACUAGAGGGACCGCUGUUACUUUCUUAAACCAGAGGAAGGUUGCGGCAAUAACAGGUCUGUGAUGCCCCUAGAUGUUCCGGGCUGCACACGUGCUACAAUGAUUAUUGCAGUGAGCAUCUCAUUUUUACACACCGCAUGCGCGAGUCCAUUUAUUCGACUCCUCGGAGCUGUUUUAAAUGUGUAUCUCUGCGCGCGGUAAAGCCUGCUUCGAAAGUAAGUGGGUAAUCAAUUAGAAGUAAUGAUUUCCGUAUUUAGCACACAUAUAUACGGCAUCUUUACCCGGGUUACCUUGUUGUAACUUUUGUGCGUAUCGAUGUUUUUUCCGUAUGUGCGAUUGUCAAUUCAUGGUGGGGACAGACCAUUGUUAAUUGUUGGUCUCGGUCUUAACUAGGAAUGCCUUGUACGGGUCUUUGGUUCAACAAACCACCCGGAAUACGUCCCUGCCCUUUGUACACACCGCCCGUCGCUCUUACCGAUGGACUUCUCUGUGAGUUUGAGGGACUGGGAACGCAGAAAAUUUAUUUUUUCUCGCACGCCGAAGGAAACUUAAACGAACAGUGUGGUCCAAAGGAAAGAGAAGUCGUAACAAGGCAUCGGUGGGUGAACCUGCAGAAGGAUCA
Molecule: ribosomal RNA, 1032 nt
Filed under: Discorbinella bertheloti
Lineage: Eukaryota; Foraminifera; Rotaliida; Discorbinellidae
Description: bacterial SSU rRNA
Rfam family: Eukaryotic small subunit ribosomal RNA
Source: RNAcentral